Molecule: small RNA, 21 nt
Filed under: Arabidopsis thaliana (thale cress)
Lineage: Eukaryota; Viridiplantae; Streptophyta; Magnoliopsida; Brassicales; Brassicaceae
Description: AGO4_07445
Source: RNAcentral
GAUUCUCUGUGUAAGCGAAAG